GCACCACAACAGGUGGAGCCUGCGGUUUAAUCGGACUCAACGCCGGGAAACUCACCUGAUAGACAGCUGAAUGAUAGUCGGGCUGAAGACUCUACUUGACUAGCUGAGAGGAGGUGCAUGGCCGUCGUCAGUUCGUACUGUGAAGCAUCCUGUUAAGUCAGGCAACGAGCGAGACCCACGCCAACAGUUGCCAGCUCGUCCUCCGGGAUGGUGGGGACACUGUUGGGACCGCCUCUGCUAAAGAGGAGGAAGGAAUGGGCAACGGUAGGUCAGCAUGCCCCGAAUUAUCUGGGCUACACGCGGGCUACAAUGGGUGGGACAAUGGGUAUCGACACCGAAAGGUGAAGGCAAUCUCCUAAACCCAUCCGUAGUUCGGAUUGUGGGCUGCAACUCGCCCACAUGAAGCUGGAAUCUGUAGUAAUCGUGUCUCAAAAUGGCACGGUGAAUAUGUCCCUGCUCCUU
Molecule: ribosomal RNA, 462 nt
Filed under: uncultured Methanomicrobiales archaeon
Lineage: Archaea; Methanobacteriati; Methanobacteriota; Methanomicrobia; Methanomicrobiales
Description: bacterial SSU rRNA
Rfam family: Archaeal small subunit ribosomal RNA
Source: RNAcentral